UUAUUUUUAUUAAAUUAAAAUUAAUUAGUUAUUAAAUGUAUAAUCAUUAAAAAUAAAAAAUUUGGCGGUAUUUAAUAUUUAGAGGAACUUGUUUGUUAAAUUGAUAAUCCACGAAUAGAAAUACUUAAUUUGAUAAUUUUAUGUAUUGUUGUUGAAAAAUUGUAUUAAGAGGUAAAAAUUAAAAAAUUUAAUUUAAUUAUAAUUCAAAUCAAAAUGUAGAAUAAUUAAGAAUUUAAAUGAGUUACAAUUAAAUAAAUAAUUGAAUUUUAUAAUUUAAUUUAUAAAUGAAAAUGGAUU
Molecule: ribosomal RNA, 297 nt
Filed under: Camponotus heteroclitus
Lineage: Eukaryota; Metazoa; Arthropoda; Insecta; Hymenoptera; Formicidae
Description: partial 12S ribosomal RNA
Source: RNAcentral